RNAcentral lists this ribosomal RNA (407 nucleotides) under uncultured bacterium. RNAcentral's name for it is "partial 16S ribosomal RNA". It matches the Rfam family "Bacterial small subunit ribosomal RNA", at positions 30 to 526 of the family's 1533-position model. The record is from RNAcentral.
AUUGAACGCUGGCGGCAGGCCUAACACAUGCAAGUCGAGCGGAGCGGCGGACGGGUGAGUAAUGCCUCGGAAUCUGCCUGGUAGUGGGGGAUACCGUCCGGAAACGGGCGCUGAUACCGCAUACUAUCAGAUUAGCCUAGGUCGGAUUAGCAGGUUGGUGGGUUAAAGGCCUACCAAGGCGACGAUCCGUGACUGGUCUGAGAGGAUGAUCAGUCACACUGGAACUGAGACACGGUCCAGACUCCUACGGGAGGCAGCAGGGGGGAAGAUUGGACAAUGGGCGAAAGCCUGAUGCAGCCAUGCGGCGUGUGUGAAGAAGGUCUGCGGAUGGUAAAGCACUUUAAGUUGGGAGGCGUUACCUACAGAAUAAGCACCGGCUAACAUCGUGCCAGCAGCCGCGGUAAUAC